CACUAUAGGCUAAGAAACUAUUUUGGACGCACGCGAUGGUACUCCUUGGUGAAGGGGUUCAAGUGGAAUCUUGGUUCUGUCUGUUUGGAGAUAGUUCUAAUCUUGAUGCAAGAUAGGUGCACGGUUUGCAUGGAACAUACCAUAUGCUCAGAAAUCAAUUUGGACAAACCCGAUGGAACUAUUGAUGCACCCGAUGGAACUACUAGAUGAAGUAAUAAGGACGAGGGUGUCCCGAUCUUUCGGUGGAGAUGGAUAACUUCGAUCUCUCUGGAGCGACAUUCACGAUCCGACUACAACCGUCCAAGGACGCUGCGCCUUAGCGAUCGAUACACCAAUUCCAGCGGUUGAUCACGAUCUUGUUGAUCACGACCAACCAAACCACUAGGGUAAUUCCUGCACGCAAUCGAAGAACAUGCAAGGACAGAUAGAACAAGCACUCAAUUGCCAAAUAAUACAAGAAGGAUCUGAUAUGAAUCACGAUAACAAUAUAGGGUUUUGAAUCAAGUAGAACGGAUGGUCUAGUCGACACAUGCGUCUACAAGGAAGUAGCAAUGGCUAAUCUUACAACAAAACAAAACCCACCUUCUGUGUCUGGCUGUAGAAGCCUUUAUGUACAAGAGAGAGCAACC
RNAcentral lists this long non-coding RNA (629 nucleotides) under Sorghum bicolor (sorghum). RNAcentral's name for it is "long non-coding RNA (SBIC_LNC014225)". The record is from RNAcentral. Lineage: Eukaryota; Viridiplantae; Streptophyta; Magnoliopsida; Poales; Poaceae.